This is a non-coding RNA of Plectropomus leopardus (leopard coralgrouper), 594 nucleotides long. The record is from RefSeq and is a predicted model, not a curated record. NCBI's taxonomy places the organism in Eukaryota, Metazoa, Chordata, Actinopteri, Perciformes, Serranidae.
GGAUCUGCCGAAGUGAGUUAUGUGUGGUAGAGAAAUUUGGGAGGAAGUACGUGGCUCAGGUGGUACCUUAUUGGUCGGAAGUUUGCAGGUAGGAGUCUCCCGCCUUCAGUCUGCACGUCGAAGAAUGCAAUUCCGCAAUCGUAUCUCCAGAGAACUUUCUGAACCCCAGCUGGAACCAGAAAAUGCCCCACCGCGGUCUCUAAAAGCUGAAGCCUGUGUGGCACUUCCUGUUGGGCCCUGAGGAAGAUGAUCUCCCGCCUUGUCGGCUCCCACCGCAGCACAAAGGAAAUCAUUAUCCUGUAAUUAUGGAUGGUUAAGAAGAAGAUUGGCCGUCUCUGUAAUCUGCGUAAUGGCAUAAUGUGUCACCAGGCUCUGGAAGCCUAAACAACCGGCGUAGGCGAUGAUGGACACAGUGAAUUUUUUUUUUUUUUUCCUGACUUUGAAACUAACGAGGAAGAAUCAUUGAGGAAAAUGUCAGCAUUAAUAUGCACGUCUGCAAAGGUCGUGAUGUGACAGCAGCGCGUGAAGCAGGGGGCUCAUGCACACACAGGCGUUUCCCCUCCGUCUGCAUCAAGACUGACAGAAACAUAACAA